CUCACAUAUGGAUUUCAAAAUCUAAUUCAAAGCUUUAGAAGGUUAAGGAUUACAGUUGUACAAGAAUCCCAAAACACCAAAUAUAUCUCUUUUACCUCUAUUUCAUCUUCCACUCAAGUUUUUCCAACCACGUAUACUUAAACCUCUUGUUUUACAUGUUAAAUUUAGUAUAAAAUCCCUUGAUUUAAAUCCAACCUCUACCCAAACGGAGCCUUAGCUAACCAAUUGAGGAUUACUAAUCUAGGGUUCUUCAGUAUUCUAAAAGACGGCCUAGGCGGCCGAUUAAUCGGCGCCUAGGCACUAGGAGGUACCCCACCGCCGCGCCUAGGGUCCUAGGCGGUUGUCUAGGCGCCGGGCCGAUUAAUCGGUCACUAAGCACGAUUAAUCGGCUAAGCGGGCUAGGCACUAGGCGGAUUAGGUAGUUCUAGGUGGACGAUUAGGCAGCUCGGCGGUGUAAUUUUUUAAAAUUAAGGACUAGGCGUUAGGCGGGCUAGGCAGCUAGGCAAACAAUUAGGUGGCUCGGCGGUGUAGUUUUUGAUUGCAGUGCCAUAUUUAAUGUUUUGUUUUACUUAUGUUGUUAUAUUUGCUCUCAAAACUUAGGGAGGGGGUAGGAGAAUAUUUUAAAAAUUAAAUAAAUAGAAAAUCCGCCUAAUGUCUAGGCGCCGAUUAAUUGGCCUAGGCGCUAGGUGAGUAGGCGGUGCCCAGCCGCCUGACUACCGCCUAGCGACUAUUAGAACACUGGGGUUCUUUGCUUCAGCAAAUUUUUUCAAUUUUUCCCUUAAUUUCGUCAUAUUCUGUUUGAAUGCCACAAUUUUAUCAGAACCCAAAUAAACCCAACGUUGAAUAAGCAAUUAAAUUUUCUGGGCAAAGGGAAUGGACACCAUACGUACACACACACACGUACAUACAACUAUAGAGAUGGAAAAUGUAUGUACCUUGAAGGGUGGGAUUACCAACCACCUAUACUUAAACCUCCUAUUUUACAAGUUAAAUUGAAUAUCUAAUGAGAGUGAGUUAUGUCCAGAUGAGGCGGACACCGUGGGGUUUCCGCCACCGCUAUUUGUGGGCCCUGUCGUGCGUUCAUUGAGGUAAUCCGAAUCGUUCAUCUUGUACAGCUCGCAAAAUAGUGUAUUCAAACAAAAAAUCAACUUUAUCAAACAUUCAUAUGUAUAUUAAAAUUUGGAUUUUGGUUUACAAAAUGUAGGGCCUGGAUUCUGUCUAUAGUUUUUAAGUUAAAAUAUGCAUGACCAUCCGUUUUAUAAACCAAAAUUCAAUUUUUGAUAUACCUAUGAAUGUCCAAUAAAGUUGAUUUUUUGUUUGAAUACACUAUUUUGCAAGCUCUACAAGAUGAACGGUUCAGAUUACUGCAAUUAACACAUGGUGGGGCCCAUAAUGGGAGGCGAAAACCCCAUGGUUUCCACCUCAUCCGGAAAUAAUUUUUUCUCAUAUCGAUCCCUUUAUUUAAAAUCCAGCCUCUAUGACUCUAUCAAAACAGAGCCUUAAUUAACCAAUUAAGGAUUAGUUUUUUUUUUGUCAAAAGUGAAAAGAUUGUAUUGAUAAACGCCUAGCGGCACUUACAAAACUGAAAUCAUUACAAAGAACUUGGGCGAAGCCAAACUAAUCAUCUAACAAAUACAAAAUAAGUAAAUCACAAGACAAUCAAUGUCUUCCAUUCUAACUCAGGCAUGGUCUGACACAAUAGCAACACUUUUAGCUGCCUAACAUCUAAUUAGGAGUCUUAUAUCAGAAAAAGUGCAAAGUUAAGGGCAAAAGACACCAAAUGCCCAGACGAUCCAACCAAGUAUAAAGAACGCACCAAUGAACUCCUAAGAACUACAGAUCUUUAGCAGGGUUAGUCGCUUUAGCAAAGUUUCAGGUUCAACUUUUUGUUAGUUUCUUUGAGUUCUUGCAUGCCACCAUUUUCUCAAAACCCAAACAAAUCUAAGGAUAAGCAAUUAAAUUUUCCCAGAAAAUGAGAACAAAGACACAUUUUUUUUUAACAAGAGCAUCUCCGGCCCUUAAACGACAACAUUAAACGAGACCGAACAAUAAAGAGAACCUAUACCUCUCUAAACGCCAAAAAAUAUCCAACUUGUUAACAAAUUGAUCAAACUUUUUUUUUUUUUCAUAACUCAAGUGCGCGGUCAGCUUAUGCGCACCUCGACUAAGGCCUUGUUUCACUAACCUUUUAGGACUUCUAGAAAAAGUGCACGUUUUGUCCUUGUUAAAAAAAAUUCACAUUUGUUAGUUUUGCACCAAACUUUUGUGGAUUAUUGAUUUGUCUCGACGAGACGGAUACACAUACAAAAUAUCCACGAUUACUCUCUCACCACACACACACACGCACAGAGAGAGAGAGAGAGAGAGAGAGAGAGAUUAAACAAACUAGAAAGAAAGAAGCUCUUAAUUUUAAUCAAGGCCGUCUCGUCCCAUCAAAAUAUCUAGUUGUUGUAUUCCUCUCUCGCCAAAAACACAUAAAGCAAUAAUGGGUGGAAAUUUGGUGUACCUUGAAAGUGGGCGUGGGAUUUCCAAGAGGGUCCUGAGGGGAGGAAAGGUCGAGCUCAUCGGCACAGAAUUUGGACCAGAGGGACUCGUCGGCGGCCCAAUCACGGAACUUCUUGUUUAAGCAGCCGGCCGCGGCCGUGUCGGUGGGACCCAGUUUUGAUAGAAUCUCGUGGAUCGCAAGAGCUCCUACGCUGUCCAAACCCAUCCCACUCUCUCUCUCUCUCCCUCUCUCUAGUUUGGGAUUU
Long non-coding RNA from Rhododendron vialii, 2750 nucleotides. RefSeq lists it as uncharacterized. The transcript is spliced from 2 exons. NCBI's taxonomy places the organism in Eukaryota, Viridiplantae, Streptophyta, Magnoliopsida, Ericales, Ericaceae. The record is from RefSeq and is a predicted model, not a curated record.